This 616-nucleotide long non-coding RNA is filed under the name Homo sapiens (human). RNAcentral describes it as "non-protein coding lnc-SERP1-2:1". Lineage: Eukaryota; Metazoa; Chordata; Mammalia; Primates; Hominidae. The record is from RNAcentral.
AUGAACGGCUUCACGCCUGGGCAGUGGGGAGGCGGCAGCCGCAGUGGCCGCUGUGGUCGCCAGUGCCUCGUCCGGGAAAUCGGGGCUGAGGGGCCGGGCGCAGGGGCGGUCUCAGCGGCUGGGCCCCUGGGGGCGGCCAGGCCGGGCUCCUGGCAACUGUGCUGCCUGCGGAGGAUGGUGAGCGGUGCGGUCGGGCAGCAGGCAACGCCAGCUUCAGCAAGAGGAUCCAGAAGAGCAUAUCCCAGAAGGUGAAGAUCGAGCUGGAUAAGAGCGCAGGCAUCUUUACAUAUGUGAUUAUCAUAAAAACUUAAUUCAGAGUAUUCGAAACAGAAGAAAGAGAAAAGGGAGUGAUGAUGAUGGAGGUGAUUCACCUGUUCAAGAUUUCGAUACCCCAGAGGUUGAUUUAUACCAAUUACAAGUAAAUACACUUAGGAGAUACAAAAGACACUUAAAGCCACCAACCAGACCAGGACUUAAUAAAGCACAACUUGUUGAGAUAGUUGGUUGCCACUUUAGGUCUAUUCCAGUGAGUGAAAAAGACACCUUAACAUAUUUCAUCUAAUCAGUGAAGAAUGACAAGAACAAAUCAGAUCUCAAGGUUGAUAGUGGUGUUCAC